AACGAACGCUGGCGGCGUGCCUAACACAUGCAAGUCGAGCGCGAAUGGAGCAAUCCUAGUAGAGCGGCGCACGGGUGCGUAACACGUGGGUAAUCUGCCUGGAAGACUGGAAUAACCUGCCGAAAGGCUGGCUAAUGCCGGAUAAGCCUACGGGUUCUUCGGAACUUGAAGGAAAAGGUGGCCUCUGUAUACAAGCUAUCACUUCUAGAUGAGCCCGCGGCCCAUCAGCUAGUUGGCGGGGUAAUGGCCCACCAAGGCUACGACGGGUAGCUGGUCUGAGAGGACGAUCAGCCACACUGGAACUGAGACACGGUCCAGACUCCUACGGGAGGCAGCAGUGGGGAAUUUUGCACAAUGGGCGAAAGCCUGAUGCAGCAACGCCGCGUGUGUGAUGAAGGUCUUCGGAUCGUAAAGCACUUUCGACCGGGAAGAAACCUAGUUGGCUAACAUCCAACAGCUUGACUGUACCGGGA
RNAcentral lists this ribosomal RNA (473 nucleotides) under uncultured bacterium. RNAcentral describes it as "bacterial SSU rRNA". It matches the Rfam family "Bacterial small subunit ribosomal RNA", at positions 29 to 483 of the family's 1533-position model. The record is from RNAcentral.